UGUCUAAGUACAUACCGUAUUAAGGUGAAACCGCGAAUGGCUCAUUAAAUCAGUUAUGAUUCAUUGGAUGUUGACCAAUUACAUGGAUAACUGUGGUAAUUCUAGAGCUAAUACAUGCCGAAAAGCUUCAUACUUGUUGUGGAGUGCAUUUAUUAGACCAAGACCAAAGGUGGUGACACCUUACGGUGGUGACUCUGGAUAACUGCAGCUGAUCGCAUGGCCUUGCGCCGGCGACAUAUCCUUCGAGUGUCUGCCUUAUCAACUUUCGAUGGUAGGUUAUGUGCCUACCAUGGUUGUAACGGGUAACGGAGAAUUAGGGUUCGAUUCCGGAGAGGAAGCCUGAGAGACGGCUACCACAUCCAAGGAAGGCAGCAGGCGCGCAAAUUACCCACUAUCAGAACGAUGAGGUAGUGACGAAAAAUAACAAUACGGGCUUCGCUUAUGCGUUCUCGUAAUUGGAAUGAGUACAGUUUAAAUCCUUUAACGAGGAUCAAUUGGAGGGCAAGUCUGGUGCCAGCAGCCGCGGUAAUUCCAGCUCCAAUAGCGUAUAUUAAAGUUGUUGUGGUUAAAAAGCUCGUAGUUGGAUCUCAGUCCAUACGCAGUGGUCCAUCUUGUUGGUGGUUACUGUUGCGUUGGACAGUUUACCGUUUCGUCCAUCGGUGUUCUUAACCGGGUGUCGGUGGCGGUCGGUACGUUUACUUUGAAAAAAUUAGAGUGCUCAAAGCAGGCAUUAUGGCCUGAAUAAUGUUGCAUGGAAUAAUGGAAUAGGACCUUGGUUCUGUUCUGUUGGUCUUCGGAAUCGAGGUAAUGAUUAAGAGGGACGG
Molecule: ribosomal RNA, 824 nt
Filed under: uncultured eukaryote
Lineage: Eukaryota
Description: SSU rRNA
Rfam family: Eukaryotic small subunit ribosomal RNA
Source: RNAcentral